Non-coding RNA from Ixodes scapularis (black-legged tick), 592 nucleotides. The record is from Rfam. NCBI's taxonomy places the organism in Eukaryota, Metazoa, Arthropoda, Arachnida, Ixodida, Ixodidae.
UGGUGCAGGUAGAGAGAGCAUGUUUAUUUUUAUUCAUUUUUCUCUCACAUAGAAAUUGUCCCUAUCUACUAUCUAGCGAAACCACAGCCAAGGGAACGGGCUUGGAAAAAUCAGCGGGGAAAGAAGACCCUGUUGAGCUUGACUCUAGUCUGACUCUGUGAAGAGACAUGAGAGGUGUAGCAUAAGUGGGAGGCCGUGAACCCUCGCGGUUGUGUCGUGCCGUCAGUGAAAUACCACUACUUUCAUCGUUUCUUUACUUACUCGGUGAAGCGGAAAGGGGACCAUGAGUGUCCACGCUUCUAGCACUAAGUGCAAGGCCCUUCGUUGGCCCGCACGAUCUGUUCCGAGGACAGUGUCAGGCGGGGAGUUUGACUGGGGCGGUACAUCUGUCAAAUGGUAACGCAGGUGUCCUAAGGCGAGCUCAGCGAGGACAGAAACCUCGCGUAGAGCAAAAGGGCAAAUGCUUGCUUGAUCUUGAUUUUCAGUACGAUUACAGACCGCGAAAGCGGGGCCCCUCGAUCCUUUUGACUUUAAGAGUUUUAAGCAAGAGGUGUCAGAAAAGUUACCACAGGGAUAACUGGCUUGUGGCGGC